RNAcentral lists this long non-coding RNA (8146 nucleotides) under Sus scrofa (pig). RNAcentral describes it as "lncRNA (ENSSSCG00045019369.1)". The record is from RNAcentral. Lineage: Eukaryota; Metazoa; Chordata; Mammalia; Artiodactyla; Suidae.
AGGACUUAUGAACAGAAGAUAUUCAAGAAUUUAAAAGAACCAUCCAGGAGGGCUGAAACUACAUUCUACCCAUCUCCUGAGAAUAGUUCUGCAAAGUGCAAAUAAAAUGACACAUCUCAAUGAAGGUAUUCAGCGAUAAGCAAGUCAAUGAGACCACAGGCUCUAUAUGAGUUUCCUCCUUUGUUGAAGCCUGGAAAGUGGCUCUGGACAGUGAACUGGUCUACAGCUUGUUCUACUGCUGACUCUCUAGGAUUUAAUGCACUGCUUUCUGGGAAUCUCUAUCUUGUUCACAGGUCUUCAGAUCAAGAGACACUACAACUAGAUGUCAUCAAAAUCAAGAUAUCUUGGACUUUGUGCCUGAUGUCAUGAUUGGGUGAAACUUUUGUAAGUCGUGUGAUAAGGAAAGGAGAAAGAAUCAGAUGUUUUCAGGAAGAUUGAUCUUAACUCUAACUAUACAGCUAAAAAUGAAAUCAUAGUCUAGUUGUUAUGAGUAUACUGAGAAGCUAAAGAAGAAUUUAAAUACUUAUUAUCUCUUUGUCAUACUUUAUAUUUUAAAAUGUUAGUAAUAAUAUAUACCUAACCUUGUUGUAAUGAGUAUAAAAGGCACUAUAUGAAAAGAUUUGACAUAGCAUUGUGACUCAGUAUAUUAUGAUCCAUGUUGUUCCUAACUGAAUUACCAGUUUUAUAUCUGAAUUCAUUUUAUAUCUAUUUUUGGAAUAUUAAAAAACUACAUUUUCAUUUGAUAAAUAGUCAUGAUUUCACACUAACAUCUUGAAAGCUGAUGAAAUAUUCCAACUAUAAUUUUGUUCUUAUAUAAUUCUACCAUUAACACAGACAUUUAGGCUGUUAGAAUGUCUUAUUUUUAUUGUCCAUUGCUAUGCUAAUGAUAUAUGCUAAUUUUGACUAUAAAUUCUGGUUAUUAAACUUCUGUAUUGCUAAUUAGAAAAAGAGCAUAUUAUUAAUUUCUAAAGAAAAGGUAUAUUUAAAAUAAUAAUUUUAGGCCAGAUUUUCAUUUUUGAAAUAUUUCUUGAAAAUACCUAUUCAUUAAGAAUUUCCAUUUGCUAAGCAGAUACAGUAGUUUAGCAGUAUUCAUUUCAGUGUUCCAUUUUUUUUUAAAUUUUGGAAAUAAUCACUUAACCAUUCAUUAAUGCGAUAAAAUGCUGUAAUGGCACUUGCAGUGUCCUAUUAAUCACUCUAUUGUAAUUAUGACAGACCUCUUUAGCCAGUAUGGUACCAUUUCUUUCAGAAACAUAUUACAAGUUUGAAAAGAGGCUUGCUCCUUACUUUUGCCACACACACUGCCACAAACACACUCAAGUUUGGGGGAGGCAAAUCUAUGUCUUAAACUCUGAUUGUAUAUAAUAAAAUGUUAUUAACUUUUACAGGUAAAUUUAAAACCUGGUUACAUCUGUUACUAAAAGAAGCAAAAAUGAAUUUUAGUAGCUUAAUAUAAUUAAGAACUUAUGAUAAACACCAGAACCUUGCACUGGACUCUCUCUCCCCGAGACCCAUGUUCAGAGGUUUAGAAGUGAUGUGGUUUUGUAACCCCUCUUACCAAGUGUUCCUAUCCAUGCUAUAUAUCCAGAAAAAAUGAAAACAUUAACUUGAAGAGAUAUGUGCACUCCAGUGUUCAUAGGAGCACUACUGAUAACAGCCAAGACAUGAAACCACCCAAGUGCCCAUCAACAAAUGAUGGGCAUAUUUUAUAUAUAUAAUGGAUUUUUACUCAGCCAUAAGAAAGAAUGAAAUAUUUCCAUUUGUAGCAACAUGAUGGACUUGGAGAAUAUCGCACUAAGGAAGUGUGACAUACAAAGACAAAUAUGAUAUCACUUAUAUUUGGAAUCUAAAAAAUAAUACAAAUGAAUCUCUAUAAAACAGAAAAAGGCUCACAGACAUAGAAAACAAACUUGUGGUUACAAAAGGGGAAAGGGAGGGAGUGGGAAGAUAAAUUAGGAAUAUCCUAAAUUAUAAUUCCUAGAGUGCUGUACUAUUUUUAAUACUUUAAAAAUAAAGAUGAUAUGGUAUUGGCAACUACUAUACAUGAAACAGAUGAGUAACGAGUAUUUACUGUAUAGCACAGGGAACUAUAUUCAAUACCGUAUAAUUACCUAUAGUGGAAAUUAUCUGAAAAAAUAUAUAAAACUGAAUCACUGUGCUGUAUACCUGAAACUAAUGCUGUAAGUCAAUAAUACUUCAAUUAGAAAAAAAGAGUGGGGGAGUAACUGGGCUUGUUCGAAAUUCUCUCUUGAAGCUUUAUCCAUAAGGAAAAGUGCAUCAGAUGGUAAAAGCCAGUAUCAUUAAGUAUAUCUACUGGCUAGUCCCUUGGGGAGAGUCGUCAUAUGCUUCAUCUUAGCUGUUUUACUCCAAAGAGCUUAUCUAUAACUCUAAAGCAAGAAAUCAUUUCUUCUGGAAUUACUAGGGCUCUUGGUUCAACUGAUACUUCUUCACCUAAGGUAGCUAUGGAAAUAUCUCCCAUCUUGAUUUCUUCCUAUUUAAUGCUGAGAAGUAGAGUAUCUUCUGAGACUUGUAUCAUUUACAUAAUUGCAGUUUAUUGCUUAAUUUCAUCACUGAUUAUGUCAUAAUAACUGACAAAGUCAUAUACACAUAUACUUUUAAAGUAUAUUCCAUACAGCUUAUAGUGCAUUUACACUUUUAGUAUUUUUUGCUUUAUCUUGUUUAAGGCCAGUGGAAUUUAUUUCUAUCUUUAUUUAAAGGAGAGCUGUUCAUAUUUUGAAAUGCUGUUACAGUGAUGUAUCAGUUACAUUCCUUCUUUCUUUAGGCCUAUAACUUGCCAAUGAAGUAUUUCUGUUACCAUUGGUACAAGUGUAGCAUAUGGAAAAUGUAAAUCAUUUCACUCUCUUUAGACUUACUUGUGACAAAGCUUUACUCAGGAAUGCUUUGCUUAAGCAAUUAGUCAACCAUAAAUUCUAUAAUGCACAACAUCUUGCAUUAGUGGAAAAGCAAGCUACUCUGGAAAUCUAAAUUCACAUAAAUUUUCCAGAUUUGAGACUGGGUUUUUUUUUUUAAUGGAAACCAUUUGGUCUAUUUGACCCUCAGAGACAACCAAGUAGGCAGCAGCAUGAGGUUUUGAUAACAUAUGGGUUAAUUAAUAAAGUCUAACCAGUCAGGGAAGUGUUGGAUUUAAAGGCAUUUAAUAAGAUUAGACUUUCAAACAUUAUUUGGUGCAUUAAUUCAAAUAUUCAAAUUGGCACAGCCCAGAGGCCCAGAAAUGAAAAAAAAAAUGAGGGCAGAUAGGAAUAAAAUUAAAUUUUAGGAAGGUAUUAAAAUAAAAAUACACUCACAACCCGAAAUUUAGAAAUGGAAUUAGAGUUUUUCAGCCUAUUAAAACUCACUACCAUUAGUAUAUGAGGCCACCAAAGUAGGUAGACUGAUAACUGUGUAAGCAGAUAUGUAUUUAAAAAAAGAAAUUAUUUUUUUUCAGCAUUAAAUUUGAAUCUUCUAUACAGUCUACUAAGGUAAUUUCACCAAUACUGGAGAAUCUUUAUUCUUAAGGUAUUAAAAGCAGUACAGCAUUUUAGGAAUUCUAAUUGAGGAUUUUUGCUCUAUAACUGGUAUGGUAUUUCAUACUCAUCAUGCUAAUACCUAUAAUGUUUAUGUCUGUGGCCUGCAAUUGUCCACUGAUAAUUAGAUUCAGGCCAGCGUGGGAACCACAGAAAGAAAAAGUAAACUUUUCUUCUGAGAACCCAGUACUAUUGAAAUUAACUGUGAAAAGAGAAAUACAAAAAUCACUAGAAGCAUAUCCUGCCAGCUACUUCUAAAAUGUACUAUUUGUUGCAUUUACGAGAUAAUAUGCCUUUUUGUACCGUAGUAGUAAAUUAAAACUAAAAUGAAAUUAAAACAGAGCCUGUUUCCACCAUGUUGUAAAUGAAAGUCAUUAUAAUUCAAUGCCAGAUAUGAGUCAGUUAAUUCUACCUCAGCCAAAGCUCUGAUAUUUCAGAGAACAGCAGAUGUUACCCUUUAUACUACCCCAUUAAUAUACCUAGUGAGUUAUUCCACUCUUAUCCCCAGGGCAGAGAAUAAAGGCAUAUUUUCCUUUCUAUUCCUUAAGCAAACCUACUUGCUCCCUGAAGCACAAGAUUUAAUUAUCCUUAUUGCAUUAUAUUUGCUUGAAUAGCUACAGAAGUUAUUAAUGGGCAUAACAUUUUCUGAUCUUUUUCAUGAAAUUCAGCUAUGAUAUUUAUGCUGAUUUAAUUACCUCUAGCACAUUAAUUAGUCCAGCAGUAAGAAUUAAGGACUUAGGAUUUAUAACAAAAUUUAUUCCUAUUGAUUAUUAUGAUAUGUGACAGUUUGGCUAAUGGGAGAGUUUAAACAUAGAAUUCACAUAUGUAUGUAAGUUUCUGGGAAAAAGGAACUGGAGACCUACUAUAUUUACUAGCUGUUUAUGGGGAUAUCUACCAAGAAAGGACCCUGGAAACCUAGUGGGUGCUAGAUCAACUACUAAAUGCCUGUGUAACCUUAGGCAAAUAAUUUAGCUUUCUGUGUUUCAGCUGCAUCAUCUGUAAAGAGGAAAUAGUGGUAAUCUUUACAUUAUAGAGUCUUUUUUAUAUUAGUUUAAUAUCUAUAAAGCACUGAGCGAUAUCUGGUACAUCAUAUGUUAUACAUAAAUGCAGUGAUUUUAAUAAUAAUAAUAAUUGAAAAUAAGCAGAAGGGACAGACUUAAAAACAGAGAGUGAAUUUAUGUUCAGUCACUUGACUGCUAGGUAGAAAUCUAAUGAGGAGUUAAACUUUGAGGAUUUUUAUGACUGAAUCUCAAGUUACGAGUAUGUCAGGAUAAAUGGAAUUAAUAAUUUUGGGUAAUAUCAAAUUUUAGUUACUAUUUGAAGACAAUAAAUAAAGGAGAAAUUUGAGAGAAAAUGAGCAAUUAAGGAAAGAGUUAGGACUAAACACUGGUAUUGGAAGACUUUCGUCAGUCGGGGAAAGAAAAAAAUAAUGUAAAGGAUAUUGGGGUAGAGAUAAGGAGAUGGUUGGUAGGAGGAGCAAGAAAAAUUACAGUACAAGGACAUGGAAAAGUGGCAUACAGUGUUAAAAGCAGUAAAAUAAAUGUAUCAAAGGAAACCAGUGGCUUUGAAUAUGGAAUUUAUUGGUAUCCCUUGAUUGCAGUUUCAGAAUUUGGUGGAGGAAAGACACUGACUGCACUAUAUUGGGAAGUAAAUGUUGAGCUGAAGCGAAGGAAGCAGAUUAGAAAACUUCAAAAAUUUAGGUGGUCAGUUUAAGGCUUGAUUAAAAAUAGAAAGAGAACAAUGACCACAAGCCAGUCAUAUUAUGAGAUUUUACCACCUGCUUGUCUUAAAAAUCUCAAGUUUUGAAUUUAGUUUGAAGUGAUUGAGUUGAUAGUGAAGAAGCAAAAGCAAGUUUCUCUCCAGAAAAACCCAUUUCCACACAGACCUCAAGUAAUUCACAUACUUAACAUUCCAGAAAAUGUGAGCUUUCUCGUAGGAAAUCAGAAAACUCAUACAGAAACAAAGUACCAAGAACAAGAUCUAGCAGAAGUGAUGCAAAGCAAGAUCAGAAACAUAAUAAUGUGAGAUAGUGAAUGUCAGACAUAGUUUUAAAUAAGCACUUCUUAAAGAAUGAAAUAAAAGGUGGAUUACAAAUAUGAGCAAAGAGAAACAGAUUAGAAAAUGACUGGGUAUAUUUGAAAUGAAAUAAAAUACAAAGUCCAGAAAUGAAAAACAUUUAAUUAAACAAACAAACAAACAAAAAACCACAAGGGAGUUCCCAUUGUGGCUUAGUGGAAGUGAAUCUGACUAGCAUCCACGAGGAUGCAGGUUUGAUCCCUGGCCUUGCUCAGUGGGUUAAGGAUCCAGCAUUGCCAUGAGCUGUGGUGUAGGGUGCAGAUGUGGCUCAGAUCUGGUGUGGCUGUGGCUGUGGCUCAGGCCAGGGGCUGCAGCUCUGAUUCAACCCCUAGCCUGAGAACUUCCAUUUGCCAUGGGUGUGGCCCUAAAAAAACAAAAAGUUACACUGUAGAUAUUUAUCCUGUCAAAUGUGAUGAUAUAACUUUUUGUACUUCAUACUUUAAGGUUAUAUAAGCAUAUGACAUGUAUUAGUUUUCUAUGCUAAUAUUAAUUAUAUUUUAAUAUAUAUUAUUGUAUUAUAUACUAAUUAUUAUAAACAUAACAGUGUAAAACAACACACAGUUAUUUCCUCAUAGUUUCUGUGGGUCAGGAAAAUGGCCAUGGAUUCUGCAUGGCUGCAAUCAUUGUGGUGGUUAGGAAUGGGUUCUCAUAGAGAAGCUCAAUAUGUAAUGAAUUUGCUUUCAGUUUCAUUCAGGUUGUUGUAGAAAUAAUUCCCUUGCAGAUGUAAUACUGAAGGCCCUGUCCUAUUGCUGGAUGUUCUCUAGAGGCUGUCCUCAACUCCCUGGCACAUGGGGAUCAGGCCAGUAAAAAGAGCAAGACAAUCUAGAGUGAGCCUGCAAGCAAGAUGAAAUCCCUUCUGUUGUAAUCAUGGAAGUGACAUUUCAUCACCUUUGCCUUAUUCUAUUGGUUACAACCAAGUAACAGACCCCAUCUACACUCAAGAGAAGAAAUUAUAUAAGAGCAGUGAAUUAUACAUGGGCAUAAGUACCAGGAUACAGGUAUUAUGGAGAGUCACUUUAGAGUCUGUCUACCAUUUGGUAAUAACUGAAGCCAUACAGGAAUAUCCAUACAUGAAGUGCAUAAAAUAAAAUGAAAAGUAAGUUUCCCUCCUCCUAAGUCUUUUUAUCCCCAAUAGUGUCUACAAAAUGUAAGGGUUUCCUUUACAACCUUCCUAAAAAUAAAAUCCCCUGAUCUUUUUUCCCCAAAUGAAAAAUGGCCAUCAGUAGAUGUUAGACUGAAUUCUACCCCUUUCAACUGCCAAUUCAUAUGUUGAACUUCUAACACCCAACAUGACUGAAUUUGGAGGUAGCAUCUUUAAGGAGGUAGUAGUUUAGGUUAAGUGAGGUCAUAAGGUGGGACUAAUUCAAUAGGAUUGCUGUCCUUGUGAGAUGAGGAAGAGACAUUGCGGAUCAUGUGCACAGGCAAAAGGCCAUGUGAAGACACAGUGAGAAAGCCACAGUCUGUAAGCCAAGGAAAGAGGUCUCCCCAGAAACCAACCCUGAUGGUGAAAAUUUCUGGUUUUUAGAAUUGUGAGAAAAAAAUUCUGUUGGUUAAGCUAUCCAGUCUUUAGUAUUCUGUUAUGGCAGCCCUAUCAGAUCAAUAAAGUAGCUCAUAGUUUUAGUAAACUUUAAGAUAUAUCUGAAGGCAUUAAUUAGAAUGUGGUAAAAAAAAAAGGUGAAACAUAAAAGAUAAAUAUCAGGCAAGAAGAAUAGAGUACCAGCGAUACUGCAUUAGAGCACCAGCAGGAGAGAAGAAAGAAUAUGAAAAGGGAAAUACAAAAAUAAAUAAUGGCUUCAAGAAUUCUGCAGAACUAGUGUCUGUCAAGAGCUUUGAAAGGUUUUAGAUGGUCUAGCUGUAAGCUAAUGAGUUAGUCACCCACAGUUUUAUAGAAGUUGGCAGAAGAUUCAAGAUGUCCUGAUCAGAGAAAGGACUUAAUACUCAUGAACCAGUAGGGAUCAUGAGCUCCAUAUUUGCUUAAGAUAUUCCUGACCUCCAAAUCUGACAAAAGAGAUGCAGAAAGGUCUAGGAGGAUGAUAUUCAUAGUAGAUUGUGUGACAGCUGGGAAACUGAGCUUAGGGAACACAAAAUUUUAAAGGUGGUAUUAGCAAACCUGCCCAAUAUUUGCCUGGGACACAUAUUAUUCCGAUCAGCAAACAAAUUUGUCCUUUGAUCGGAAGGAAAAUCCUCUCUAUAUUCCAAGGCUGUUUUCUAUACAGAUACUCUUAAAAAGAUAAUCCAGAACACAGCAUCCAAUAUUUCUUCAAAAUUUGUACAGAUAUGCAAGAGAGACCUAUGGAGAACUGCUUCCCAGCAAAGUCACUGCCUCCUACAAAGCCCACUGACUUCAAAGACGGAAGAGUUUAAUGAUUUUUCACCUAGAUAUACAUCAAAAUGAGACUACAGAACACCAAAGGCAAAGAAGAAUCUGAGAGGCAGCCUGAGAGAAAAGAUAUUUCACCUACAAAGAAUGGAAAGAGCCAAUACGUGACUUUUCAACAGUGUUAAAGGAAAGCAGGUGUCAAUAAACUAAAAUGAUCUAAAAAAAAAAA